Molecule: ribosomal RNA, 465 nt
Filed under: uncultured bacterium
Lineage: Bacteria
Description: partial 16S ribosomal RNA
Rfam family: Bacterial small subunit ribosomal RNA
Source: RNAcentral
CCUACGGGUGGCAGCAGUAGGGAAUCUUCCACAAUGGGCGAAAGCCUGAUGGAGCAACGCCGCGUGGGUGAAGAAGGUCUUCGGAUCGUAAAACCCUGUUGUUAGAGAAGAAAGUGCGUGAGAGUAACUGUUCACGCUUCGACGGUAUCUAACCAGAAAGCCACGGCUAACUCCGUGCCAGCAGCCGCGGUCAUACGUAGGUGGCAAGCGUUAUCCGGAUUGAUUUGGCGUAAAGGGAACGCAGGCGGUCUUUUAAGUCUGAUGUGAAAGUCUUCGGCUUAACCGGAGUAGUGCAUUGGAAACUGGGAGACUUGAGUGCAGAAGAGGGGAGUGGAACUCGAGGUGUAGCGGUGAAAUGCGUAGAUAUAAGGAAGAACACCAGUGGCGAAGGCGGCUCUCUGGUCUGUGACUGACGCUGAGGUUCGAAAGCGUGGGUAGCAAACAGGAUUAGAUACCCGGGUAGUC